Molecule: ribosomal RNA, 468 nt
Filed under: uncultured bacterium
Lineage: Bacteria
Description: partial 16S ribosomal RNA
Rfam family: Bacterial small subunit ribosomal RNA
Source: RNAcentral
GACGAACACUGGCGGCGUGCUUAACACAUGCAAGUCGAACGGAAAGGCCCUGCUUUUGUGGGGUGCUCGAGUGGCGAACGGGUGAGUAACACGUGAGUAACCUGCCCUUGACUUUGGGAUAACUUCAGGAAACUGGGGCUAAUACCGGAUAGGAGCUCCUGCUGCAUGGUGGGGGUUGGAAAGUUUCGGCGGUUGGGGAUGGGCUCGCGGCUUAUCAGCUUGUUGGUGGGGUAGUGGCUUACCAAGGCUUUGACGGGUAGCCGGCCUGAGAGGGUGACCGGCCACAUUGGGACUGAGAUACGGCCCAGACUCCUACGGGAGGCAGCAGUGGGGAAUAUUGCACAAUGGGCGGAAGCCUGAUGCAGCAACGCCGCGUGCGGGAUGACGGCCUUCGGGUUGUAAACCGCUUUCGCCUGUGACGAAGCGUGAGUGACGGUAAUGGGUAAAGAAGCACCGGCUAACUACGUG